Non-coding RNA from Camelina sativa (false flax), 801 nucleotides. The record is from RefSeq and is a predicted model, not a curated record. Lineage: Eukaryota; Viridiplantae; Streptophyta; Magnoliopsida; Brassicales; Brassicaceae.
GAUUUUUUUUAAUAAGUGUUGUCCAUCAAACAUAACAUUUAACCUAAAACACACUUCAAUAAAUUUAGUCUUUUCCACUUCCUCUCACUUCUCCUCUUUGUUCUUCGUCUCCUUUCUCCUUUUCUUCACCAUUUUUUCUCUGCCACAUAUAUAGAUUCCACCAACACCACCAAUGUUUAAUCUUCGUCGACUCUCGCUUUCACCAACUAUUCAGCCACUGAAUCUCAACAUCAAUUGUCAUGUGUUUCACUCAAGCCUACCCUCCUCUCCCAUUACAAGCCUCUCUCAACGCCUUCCACAGAUGGAGCUCUUAGAUCUGAGUUCCUUCACUAGAUCUGACCCUCUCUCACAUUCACAUUCCCAGAUCUGUAUGAAAUCUCAAAUUUAAUGCCUUGAUCUAUGAUUCUUUGUUAAUAUUUUCAAUGAUUGUAUUUGGAUUCAGAUUCAUCUUGAACCUUUAAAGAAAUCUGAUAGAAGAGCAGAGGAAGCUUCGGCCCAGAUGAAGUAUCUCUUGUUCUUAAGAACACUAAUAGCCAGAUCUGUUAGGGCUGCUAAGUAUUAUGUUUGGAGGUUUAAAUUUAAAUAAGAUGAAGUAAGACUGUAAGAGGGCAUGUGUUGCGUGAAGAUGGAGAAUUUGAAGUAAGAAGACAUGUGUUUUGUGAAGUCCAAGAAUUUGAAGUGAUUACAAAUCAAGGUGAAGAUGGAAUCAUGUAAACUUUGUAAAGAAUUGUUGCUUGCGUUUAUUUGGACUUAUGUUUUUGUAUCUUUGUGACAAUUAAUGAAAUAUUUUUAUGUUAAUUA